UCUCCGGUCCAAUAAUGAGCCAUCUGAAAGGAGGUCGUUGAUCCCUGUCCAGCACAUCAAAGAAGUCUUCUUUGAAUAUAUUUGGAACACUGUAAUCCUUCAACAAUUCUGGUGCAGUUUCCCCAAACUGAGAGAACAUAAUUCAAAUUAGAACAAUCUGUCACGAGAGAAACUGCACAGAGAGAAUAGAAAGGAACUGAGAGAACACAAUUCAAAUUAGAACAAUCUGUCACGAGAGAAACUGCACAGAGAGAAUAGCAGGAGUGUAAAGGAACCUUCUCAUCAAAAAUGUAAAGAGGAUCCUCGUCAUGCUGAAGUUUGAUGUAUGACACAUAGUCCUUAAGUUUCAUCUUAAUCUUGUGACGACUUCUUUGAGAUAAUUUAAAUGUUGUAUCUUCAUAUUUCUUCAAAAGCUCCUUUGUAGUCCAUGUAGUGCUUGCAGGCCAAGUGUCAGCCGAUCCAGCAAUUAGUACCUGUUAUGGUGUAAGUAAUAAGCUUGGUGAAGAAGAUAAUCUAUACUCUCAUAAGCUGUCAAUCAAGAAAACCAUGCACAUAAGCUGCCACCAAUAAAAAGUUUUGUAUCUUCAUAUUUCUUCAAAAGCUCCUCCGUAGUCCAUGUAGUGCUUGCAGGCCAAGUGUCAGCCGAUCCAGCAAUUAGUAC
This 661-nucleotide long non-coding RNA is filed under the name Nicotiana benthamiana. RNAcentral's name for it is "long non-coding RNA (NBEN_LNC008732)". Lineage: Eukaryota; Viridiplantae; Streptophyta; Magnoliopsida; Solanales; Solanaceae. The record is from RNAcentral.